Molecule: ribosomal RNA, 269 nt
Filed under: uncultured prokaryote
Description: partial 16S ribosomal RNA
Rfam family: Bacterial small subunit ribosomal RNA
Source: RNAcentral
UACGGAGGAGGCGAGCGUUGUUCGGAAUCACUGGGCUUAAAGCGGGUGUAGGCGGAAUGGAAGGUGCACUGUGAAAGCCCUCGGCUCAACCGAGGAAUUGCAUGGCAAACCGCCAUUCUUGAGGCAGGUAGGGGCAGAUGGAACCAUGGGUGGAGCGGUGAAAUGCGUAGAUAUCCAUGGGAACGCCGGUGGCGAAAGCGAUUUGCUGGGCCUGUCCUGACGCUGAGACCCGAAAGCGUGGGUAGCAAACAGGAUUAGAUACCCCCGUA